RNAcentral lists this ribosomal RNA (254 nucleotides) under uncultured bacterium. RNAcentral describes it as "partial 16S ribosomal RNA". It matches the Rfam family "Bacterial small subunit ribosomal RNA", at positions 524 to 776 of the family's 1533-position model. The record is from RNAcentral.
UACGGAGGGUGCAAGCAUUAAUCGGAUUUAUUGGGCGUAAAGGGCGCGUAGGCGGAUAUGUAAGUCAGAUGUGAAAUUCCAGGGCUCAACCUUGGGACAGCAUUUGAAACUGCAUUGUCUAGAGGGUAGGCGGAGAAAACAGAAUUCCACAAGUAGCGGUGAAAUGCGUAGAUAUGUGGAAGAAUACCGGUGGCGAAGGCGGUUUUCUAGCUUAUUCCUGACGCUGAAGCGCGAAAGCAAGGGGAUCAAACAGG